UACAGAGGGUGCGAGCGUUAAUCGGAAUUACUGGGCGUAAAGCGCACGUAGGUGGCGACGUAAGUCGGGUGUGAAAGCCCCGGGCUCAACCUGGGAAUUGCAUUUGAGACUGCAUAGCUAGGGUGCGGAAGAGGGAAGCGGAAUUUCCGGUGUAGCGGUGAAAUGCGUAGAGAUGUGGAGGAACACCAGUGGCGAAGGCGGCUUUUUGGUCUGUAACUGACGCUGAGGCGCGAAAGCGUGGGGAGCAAACAGG
This 253-nucleotide ribosomal RNA is filed under the name uncultured bacterium. RNAcentral's name for it is "partial 16S ribosomal RNA". It matches the Rfam family "Bacterial small subunit ribosomal RNA", at positions 524 to 776 of the family's 1533-position model. The record is from RNAcentral.